Non-coding RNA from Camelina sativa (false flax), 727 nucleotides. The record is from RefSeq and is a predicted model, not a curated record. Lineage: Eukaryota; Viridiplantae; Streptophyta; Magnoliopsida; Brassicales; Brassicaceae.
CUCAUUUUAUUCGUUCAUUCAUCGCGACUCUCUCUCUUCUCUCUCAUUGCAAACGGCGAAAGGAAAGGCGAUUCAUGCCUUGAUCGGAAAAUCGAAUCGAUUUACAACGAUUCCCAUGAAGUUUCCGGCUAAAAUUGGAGGUUUGUUGGUCAAUUAGCUUUAUGAUCGGCAACUCUUGGAUUUGACGCUUCGGUACUCACGAGAAACGACGGCGGAGGUAUCUUUUGGUGGGACAACGACGGUGGAGCUUUCUUCUGAAGACUUGAAGGGGAGGGUUUGGACCACCGGCUAACGAAUCGGAGAUGAGAAGGAUCAAUGGACAAAGGCGAAAUAUGUUGUCUCUGUGAUCAACAAGAAACUUGGUUCGUUGAAACCCCGAGUAGUUUUCAUCGAAGCAGCAAAGGAAGGUGAAGAGCCCAUCAGUUUUGGGGAUGAUGCUUCUCUUGUUAGUUACGGAGAUGGCUGGAAGUUAAAGACAGUGGUUGAUUUUGAUUUUCCUGGAACAGAGAGAUACAAUCUACCACAUCACUUUCCUUCUGUAAUAUCAAUGUUUGCUUUUGCAGGGUUCCAAAGAUCCAAAGUACACAAAGUAUUCAAAACCAGAAAUUGGAGAACAAAGUCUAAUUGGAGAUCCAAAGUACUCUUCUUUCUUUUUGUUUUGUUGUUGUAUUGAUAUUAGACCACAAGAUCAAAUUGAAACUAAAUAUAUUGAAUAAUUGUUUUGUCA